RNAcentral lists this long non-coding RNA (813 nucleotides) under Homo sapiens (human). Its description in RNAcentral is "non-protein coding LINC01088:36". Lineage: Eukaryota; Metazoa; Chordata; Mammalia; Primates; Hominidae. The record is from RNAcentral.
AGGAUAAUGGCAGCAGAAGGCAAAGGGAGCAGACAGCUGGCAAGCUCUGUCCCAAUAUGCUUCCCUGAAAGAGGCGAGGAAAUUUCAGAAGAUGCAAUGCCUGAAUGGCUCACUUUGCAGGAAAACAGAAGAACCAAGAGUGAACAGGAAACCUACAGAAUAGGAGAAAAUUUUUGCAAUCUACUCAUCUGACAAAAGGCUAAUAUCCAGAAUCUACAAAGAACUCAAACAAAUUUACAAGCACAAAACGAACAACCCCAUCAACAAGUGGGCAAAGGACAUGAACAGACACUUCUCAAAAGAAGACAUUUAUGCAGCCAACAGACACAUGAAAAAAUGCUCAUCAUCACUGCCCAGCUAAAUCUUGACUUCUAUUGAAGAAGUGAAGGAUGGAUUUUGUAAGCCUACCAGCAGCCAAAGGAGACUAAGAGGAGUCAUUCAGGAAUAUGAGGGUUAUGAAGACAGUGGUGUCCCAGAAACCAAGGAGAAGAGGAUGUUGCAUGAAGAAGGAGAUGAUGGUUUCACUUUGGUUACAUUUAUCCAAAUGCCCCGUCCAACUCUUCAGUGUCCCUAGUAAAAUCUGGUAUAGAGAUGGACACUGUUUUUUAGGUGAGGCCUGCUGAGUGUGGAGAGUUGUGAAAAAUUUUUCCCUUAAAUUGAGAAUGUUUUAAAUAAUGCAGCCUAUGUUUUCUUUAAGUAACAAGGCCAUCCCACUGACUCACACUGAUCUUGUUCUCAGCAAAAAACUCCCUGCUCUUCCUCAUAUUAAUUGCCAUAAAAACAAGUCACUUCUAUCAUGCAUUUGGCUCAUUG